UUUUAUAGAGGGAAGAUGCUUAUCCGCCGACCUUGUGGUUCUAGAUUUGACAGACUUUGACGUCAUUCUAGGGAUGGAUUGGCUAUCUACCCAUGGUGCUACCUUGGACUGCAGAGACAAGGUAGUUAAGUUCAGAUGUCAGGAUGGGUCAGAGGUCGUCUUCAGAGGAGACAAAAGGGGUACACUUAGAGGUCUGAUAUCAGCUCUUCAGGCUCGUAAGUUGCUUAGGAGGGGAUGUCAGG
This 242-nucleotide long non-coding RNA is filed under the name Manihot esculenta (cassava). RNAcentral describes it as "long non-coding RNA (MESC_LNC009754)". The record is from RNAcentral. Lineage: Eukaryota; Viridiplantae; Streptophyta; Magnoliopsida; Malpighiales; Euphorbiaceae.